This 253-nucleotide ribosomal RNA is filed under the name uncultured bacterium. RNAcentral describes it as "partial 16S ribosomal RNA". It matches the Rfam family "Bacterial small subunit ribosomal RNA", at positions 524 to 776 of the family's 1533-position model. The record is from RNAcentral.
UACGAAGGGGGCUAGCGUUGCUCGGAAUCACUGGGCGUAAAGGGUGCGUAGGCGGUGCGGAAAGUUGGGUGUGAAAUCCCUCGGCUCAACCGAGGAACUGCGCUCAAAACUACCGUACUUGAGGAAGAUAGAGGUGAGCGGAACUUACGGUGGAGCGGUGAAAUGCGUUGAUAUCGUAAGGAACACCCGUGGCGAAAGCGGCUCACUGGGUCUUUUCUGACGCUGAUGCACGAAAGCUAGGGGAGCAAACGGG